AUGAACGCUGGCGGCGUGCCUAAUACAUGCAAGUCGAGCGCACAGACGAGGAGCUUGCUCCUCUGACGUUAGCGGCGGACGGGUGAGUAACACGUGGAUAACCUACCUAUAAGACUGGGAUAACUUCGGGAAACCGGAGCUAAUACCGGAUAAUAUAUUGAACCGCAUGGUUCAAUAGUGAAAGACGGUUUUGCUGUCACUUAUAGAUGGAUCCGCGCCGCAUUAGCUAGUUGGUAAGGUAACGGCUUACCAAGGCAACGAGGCGUAGCCGACCUGAGAGGGUGAUCGGCCACACUGGAACUGAGACACGGUCCAGACUCCUACGGGAGGCAGCAGUAGGGAAUCUUACGCAAUGGGCGAAAGCCUGACGGAGCAACGCCGCGUGAGUGAUGAAGGUCUUCGGAUCGUAAAACUCUGUUAUUAGGGAAGAACAAAUGUGUAAGUAACUAUGCACGUCUUGACGGUACCUAAUCAGAAAGCCACGGCUAACUACGUG
RNAcentral lists this ribosomal RNA (496 nucleotides) under uncultured bacterium. RNAcentral's name for it is "partial 16S ribosomal RNA". It matches the Rfam family "Bacterial small subunit ribosomal RNA", at positions 29 to 507 of the family's 1533-position model. The record is from RNAcentral.